RNAcentral lists this ribosomal RNA (522 nucleotides) under uncultured bacterium. RNAcentral's name for it is "bacterial SSU rRNA". It matches the Rfam family "Bacterial small subunit ribosomal RNA", at positions 208 to 722 of the family's 1533-position model. The record is from RNAcentral.
CGGUACUGUCGCAUAGAGAUGAGUCCGCGUCCCAUUAGCUAGUUGCGGGUAACGGCCACCAAGGCAACGAUGGGUAGCCGAUCUGAGAGGAUGAUCGGCCACACUGGAACCUGAAACACGGUACCAGACUCCUACGGGAGGCAGCAGUGGGGAAUAUUGCGCAAUGGGCGAAAGCCUGACGCAGCGACGCCGCGUGAGGGAUGAAGGUCUUCGGAUCGUAAACCUCUGUCAGAAGGGAAGAACGUACUGUGUGCUAAUCAGCGCAGUAGUGACGGUACCUUCAAAGGAAGCACCGGCUAACUCCGUGCCAGCAGCCGCGGUAAUACGGAGGGUGCAAGCGUUAAUCGGAAUCACUGGGCGUAAAGCGCACGUAGGCUGUCGUGUAAGUCAGGGGUGAAAGCCCACGGCUCAACCGUGGAAUUGCCCUUGAUACUGCAUGACUGGAAUCCGGGAGAGGGUGGCGGAAUUCCAGGUGUAGGAGUGAAAUCCGUAGAUAUCUGGAGGAACAUCAGUGGCGAAGGC